UGUUCGACAAACAUUGGUUGGUUGAGUGGCUAAGCGAAAGUGAUAAGUAUCCCACCUGGGGAGUACGGUCGCAAGACUGAAACUCAAAGGAAUUGACGGGGGCCCGCACAAGCGGUGGAGCAUGUGGUUUAAUUCGAUGAUACGCGAGGAACCUUACCAGGGCUUAAAUGUAAGUUGCAUGAUUUAGAGAUAGAUCUUUCUUCGGACUACUUACAAGGUGCUGCAUGGUUGUCGUCAGCUCGUGCCGUGAGGUGUCAGGUUAAGUCCUAUAACGAGCGCAACCCCUGUCGUUAGUUGCCAGCAAGUCAAGUUGGGCACUCUAGCGAGACUGCCAGUGCAAACUGUGAGGAAGGUGGGGAUGACGUCAAAUCAUCACGGCCCUUACGUCCUGGGCUACACACGUGCUACAAUGGUCGGUACAGAGAGCAGCCACUACGCGAGUAGGAGCGAAUCUAUAAAACCGAUCUCAGUUCGGAUCGCAGUCUGCAACUCGACUGCGUGAAGCUGGAAUCGCUAGUAAUCGGAUAUCAGCCAUGAUCCGGUGAAUACGUUCCCGGGCCUUGUACACACCGCCCGUCAAGCCAUGGAAGCUGGGAGUACCUGAAGUCGGUUACCGCAAGGAGCUGCCUAGGGUAAAACUGGUAACUGGGGCU
Molecule: ribosomal RNA, 653 nt
Filed under: uncultured marine bacterium
Lineage: Bacteria
Description: bacterial SSU rRNA
Rfam family: Bacterial small subunit ribosomal RNA
Source: RNAcentral